CACGUAGGCGGGUUGUUAAGUUGGGGUGAAAUCCUGGAGCUCAACUCCAGAACUGCCUCCAAAACUGGCGAUCUUGAGUUCGGGAGAGGUGAGUGGAACUGCGAGUGUAGAGGUGAAAUUCGUAGAUAUUCGCAAGAACACCAGUGGCGAAGGCGGCUCACUGGCCCGAUACUGACGCUGAGGCACGAAAGCGUGGGAGCAAACA
This 205-nucleotide ribosomal RNA is filed under the name uncultured bacterium. Its description in RNAcentral is "partial 16S ribosomal RNA". It matches the Rfam family "Bacterial small subunit ribosomal RNA", at positions 568 to 774 of the family's 1533-position model. The record is from RNAcentral.